UGAAGUUAGCAAAGGGAAAGUUCAGUCGUACCUUCGGGUAAUCAGCCUUUCGGGUGCGAUUCUGUGGAGUUUGAGGAGCUUAACACCUUCAUGCUUUGCAUAUUCGUGCUCUUGGGUGUACUUGCUCGUAUGGUUGGUUAACAUCAAUUUUGGUGGUCAUAAAAUGACUGGAGGAAUGUAGCUUCGAUCUUGUAUUGAAGUGUUAUAGCCUUCGGUAGAUGUGAUGACUGAGAUUGAGGAUUGCAACGGAUACCCUUCGGGGCUACCUGUCUGAUCUCUGAUCGUUGCUCUGGUGCCGAAAGCUUGCUUACGGUUGUCAAAGUCGAUGGUCAAUAGGUUAGAAUGGGUUAAA
RNAcentral lists this ribosomal RNA (352 nucleotides) under uncultured Glomus. RNAcentral's name for it is "eukaryotic LSU rRNA". Lineage: Eukaryota; Fungi; Glomeromycota; Glomeromycetes; Glomerales; Glomeraceae. The record is from RNAcentral.